UACGUAGGGUGCAAGCGUUGUCCGGAAUUAUUGGGCGUAAAGAGCUCGUAGGCGGCUUGUCGCGUCGGCUGUGAAAACCUGGGGCUCAACCCCGGGCCUGCAGCCGAUACGGGCAAGCUAGAAUUCGGUAGGGGAGACUGGAAUUCCUGGUGUAGCGGUGAAGUGCGCAGAUAUCAGGAGGAACACCAGCGGCGAAGGCGGCGCUCUGGGCCGGAACUGACGCUGAGGAGCGAAAGCGUGGGUAGCAAACAGG
This 253-nucleotide ribosomal RNA is filed under the name uncultured bacterium. RNAcentral's name for it is "partial 16S ribosomal RNA". It matches the Rfam family "Bacterial small subunit ribosomal RNA", at positions 524 to 776 of the family's 1533-position model. The record is from RNAcentral.